This 468-nucleotide ribosomal RNA is filed under the name uncultured bacterium. RNAcentral's name for it is "partial 16S ribosomal RNA". It matches the Rfam family "Bacterial small subunit ribosomal RNA", at positions 28 to 507 of the family's 1533-position model. The record is from RNAcentral.
GACGAACGCUGGCGGCGUGCUUAACACAUGCAAGUCGAACGGAAAGGCACUGCUUUUGUGGGGUGCUCGAGUGGCGAACGGGUGAGUAACACGUGAGUAACCUGCCCUUGACUUUGGGAUAACUUCAGGAAACUGGGGCUAAUACCGGAUAGGAGCUCCUGCUGCAUGGUGGGGGUUGGAAAGUUUCGGCGGUUGGGGAUGGACUCGCGGCUUAUCAGCUUGUUGGUGGGGUAGUGGCUUACCCAGGCUUUGACGGGUAGCCGGCCUGAGAGGGUGACCGGCCACAUUGGGACUGAGAUACGGCCCAGACUCCUACGGGAGGCAGCAGUGGGGAAUAUUGCACAAUGGGCGGAAGCCUGAUGCAGCAACGCCGCGUGCGGGAUGACGGCCUUCGGGUUGUAAACCGCUUUCGCCUGUGACGAAGCGUGAGUGACGGUAAUGGGUAAAGAAGCACCGGCUAACUACGUG